Molecule: ribosomal RNA, 301 nt
Filed under: uncultured bacterium
Lineage: Bacteria
Description: partial 16S ribosomal RNA
Rfam family: Bacterial small subunit ribosomal RNA
Source: RNAcentral
CAGCAGCCGCGGUAAUACAGAGGGUGCGAGCGUUAAUCGGAUUUACUGGGCGUAAAGCGUGCGUAGGCGGCUUCUUAAGUCGGAUGUGAAAUCCCUGAGCUUAACUUAGGAAUUGCAUUCGAUACUGGGAAGCUAGAGUAUGGGAGAGGAUGGUAGAAUUCCAGGUGUAGCGGUGAAAUGCGUAGAGAUCUGGAGGAAUACCGAUGGCGAAGGCAGCCAUCUGGCCUAAUACUGACGCUGAGGUACGAAAGCAUGGGGAGCAAACAGGAUUAGAUACCCCCGUAGUCCCUGUCUAUUAUAC